CUGGACUUAAACCCCAAAUAUAAAGUUUACACUUUUUUUAGAA
Molecule: transfer RNA, 43 nt
Filed under: Aromia bungii
Lineage: Eukaryota; Metazoa; Arthropoda; Insecta; Coleoptera; Cerambycidae
Description: partial tRNA-Leu
Source: RNAcentral